Molecule: ribosomal RNA, 562 nt
Filed under: uncultured bacterium
Lineage: Bacteria
Description: partial 16S ribosomal RNA
Rfam family: Bacterial small subunit ribosomal RNA
Source: RNAcentral
UGGGGAAUAUUGCACAAUGGGCGAAAGCCUGAUGCAGCAACGCCGCGUGAGUGAUGAAGGCCUUCGGGUUGUAAAGCUCUGUCUUUUGGGACGAUAAUGACGGUACCAAAGGAGGAAGCCACGGCUAACUACGUGCCAGCAGCCGCGGUAAUACGUAGGUGGCAAGCGUUGUCCGGAUUUACUGGGCGUAAAGGAUGCGUAGGCGGAUUUUUAAGUGAGAUGUGAAAUACCCGGGCUUAACUUGGGUGCUGCAUUUCAAACUGGGAAUCUAGAGUGUGGGAGAGGAGAAUGGAAUUCCUAGUGUAGCGGUGAAAUGCGUAGAGAUUAGGAAGAACACCAGUGGCGAAGGCGAUUCUCUGGACCGUAACUGACGCUGAGGCAUGAAAGCGUGGGUAGCAAACAGGAUUAGAUACCCUGGUAGUCCACGCCGUAAACGAUGAGUACUAGGUGUAGGAGGUAUCGACCCCUUCUGUGCCGCAGUUAACACAAUAAGUACUCCGCCUGGGAAGUACGAUCGCAAGAUUAAAACUCAAAUGAAUUGACGGGGUCAUAGCUGUUUUCC